Molecule: long non-coding RNA, 441 nt
Organism: Cynoglossus semilaevis (tongue sole)
Lineage: Eukaryota; Metazoa; Chordata; Actinopteri; Pleuronectiformes; Cynoglossidae
Exons: 2
Source: RefSeq, a predicted model, not a curated record
GUCAAAAUAUAAAUAAAAUACAAGGUUAUAAUACUUUGGAAUUUCCAAAAGAGUUUUAUUUUAUUUUUGUUAUAUUUACUUUUCUUUAAUUUGGUUAGUUUAGUUUUUCUUUAGGUUAUUUGUCAGGUUUAGGAUUCAAGUCCACAAUAUAGCAGGCUGAAGUGCAAAAUGUCUAUAAUACUGUCUGUGAGGUUAGAUGCUAUUAGCGGGAAGAGUCAACUCAGCAAUAGGCUAAAGACACAGCUAAAAUAAUAAUAAUAAUGAUAAUAAUAGAAACCCAUUCGUCAGACAUGAGUCUGAUGAAGCUCAAAAACAUGAAAUCUGAAAAAAACAAAAAUCAAGGAAAACAAAUGUUUAUUAACGGAAUAUAAGUAUAAGUAUGAAAAGUAAAAUGCAAUGAUGGAAUCUAUAUUCCUUAUCAUUAAAACAGAAAAAUCUAAA